RNAcentral lists this ribosomal RNA (370 nucleotides) under uncultured organism. RNAcentral's name for it is "partial 16S ribosomal RNA". It matches the Rfam family "Bacterial small subunit ribosomal RNA", at positions 527 to 896 of the family's 1533-position model. The record is from RNAcentral.
GUAGGUGGCAAGCGUUGUCCGGAAUUAUUGGGCGUAAAGCGCGCGCAGGCGGUUCUUUAAGUCUGAUGUGAAAGCCCACGGCUCAACCGUGGAGGGUCAUUGGAAACUGGAGAACUUGAGUACAGAAGAGGAAAGCGGAAUUCCACGUGUAGCGGUGAAAUGCGUAGAGAUGUGGAGGAACACCAGUAGCGAAGGCGGCUUUCUGGUCUGUAACUGACGCUGAGGCGCGAAAGCGUGGGGAGCAAACAGGAUUAGAUACCCUGGUAGUCCACGCCGUAAACGAUGAGUGCUAAGUGUUAUGGGGUUUCCGCCCCUUAGUGCUGCAGCUAACGCAUUAAGCACUCCGCCUGGGAGUACGGCCGCAAGGCUG